AUUGAACGCUGGCGGCAUGCCUUACACAUGCAAGUCGAACAGCAGCACGGGUGCUUGCACCUGGUGGCGAGUGGCGGACGGGUGAGUAAUACAUCGGAACGUACCUUAUCGUGGGGGAUAACGCAGCGAAAGUUGCGCUAAUACCGCAUACGCCCUGAGGGGGAAAGCGGGGGACCGUAAGGCCUCGCGCGAUUAGAGCGGCCGAUGUCUGAUUAGCUUGUUGGUGAGGUAAAAGCUCACCAAGGCGAUGAUCAGUAGCUGGUCUGAGAGGACGAUCAGCCACACUGGGACUGAGACACGGCCCAGACUCCUACGGGAGGCAGCAGUGGGGGAUUUUGGACAAUGGGGGCAACCCUGAUCCAGCAAUGCCGCGUGAGUGAAGAAGGCCUUCGGGUUGUAAAGCUCUUUUGUCAGGGAAGAAACAGCAGCUCUAACACAGUCUGCGAAUGACGGUACCUGAAGAAUAAGCACCGGCUAACUACGUGCCAGCCGCCGCGGUAA
This 501-nucleotide ribosomal RNA is filed under the name uncultured bacterium. RNAcentral's name for it is "partial 16S ribosomal RNA". It matches the Rfam family "Bacterial small subunit ribosomal RNA", at positions 30 to 523 of the family's 1533-position model. The record is from RNAcentral.